UUAGAGUUUGAUCAUGGCUCAGAUUGAACGCUGGCGGCAUGCCUUAUAUAUGCAAGUCGAACGUGAAAGGGGGCAACCCCGAGUAGAGUGGCGAACGGGUGAGUAAUGCAUCGGAACGUGCCCAGUAGUGGGGGACAACCUCGAGAAAUCGAGGCUAAUACCGCAUACGACCUACGGGUGAAAGCGGGGGACCGCAAGGCCUCGCGCUAUUGGAGCGGCCGAUGUCCGAUUAGCUUGUUGGUGGGGUAACGAGCUACCAAGGCGACGAUCGGUAGCUGGUCUGAGAGGACGACCAGCCACACUGGGACUGAGACACGAGCUAGACUCCUACGGGAGGCAGCAGUGGGGAAUUUUGGACAAUGGGGGAAACCCUGAUCCAGCCAUGCCGCGUGCGGGAAGAAGGCCUUCGGGUUGUAAACCGCUUUCGGCCGGAACGAAAUCGCCGGGGAUAAACAAAACGGUGGAUGACGGUACCGGAAGAAGAAGCACCGGCUAACUACGUGCCAGCAGCCGCGGUAAUACGUAGGGUGCGAGCGUUAAUCGGAAUUACUGGGCGUAAAGCGUGCGCAGGCGGUUCGCUAAGACAGAUGUGAAAUCCCCGGGCUUAACCUGGGAACUGCGUUUGUGACUGGCGGGCUGGAGUGCGGCAGAGGGAGGUGGAAUUCCACGUGUAGCAGUGAAAUGCGUAGAGAUGUGGAGGAACACCGAUGGCGAAGGCAGCCUCCUGGGCUAGCACUGACGCUCAUGCACGAAAGCGUGGGGAGCAAACAGGAUUAGAUACCCUGGUAGUCCACGCCCUGAACGAUGGCGACUAGUUGUUGGGGUAGAAGUACCUCAGUAACGCAGCUUAC
Molecule: ribosomal RNA, 851 nt
Filed under: uncultured bacterium
Lineage: Bacteria
Description: bacterial SSU rRNA
Rfam family: Bacterial small subunit ribosomal RNA
Source: RNAcentral